UAUCUUGCUUUAUUACUGUUCUGUAACCUAAAUGUUGUUUUGAAAGGAGUUUGUCCUUCCAAACAGAUAUUUAUCUAAUUGUGCUCUGUUUUUUUUUUUUUACAGUAGGGAAAAUCCCAUUGGUUUUACCUGAGCGAACCACACUUGACUACCUAAGAGAGUUUCGCUUUAAGCAGGAACUGAAGAACCAAACCACUGUUGGUGUAACGAAGCCAAAGAGCCAGAUACUGCAAAGUUCAAGUUAGCAGCGUGUUCCCUCCAAACUAUCAUAAGUCAAAAGUUGCCAAAGGGAUGCAAUUCCAGAUUUUGCAAAUGUGGCAAGUAUAAAAAAAUCUAUCAGAAUUUACCAGUAUUGGUGAGCAAAUAAUCAGGAGGGAAAUCGCCAUCAAGUACUUUAAUUGAAAUGAGAAUUCAACAUUAGCCUCAAAUAUUUCAGGCAGUUACAUUCUUUAAGGGAAAAUAAUCCAGAAAAGCAAACGGAGGGGCUCAGUGGUAGAAAAUUCUCUAAAGUAUUCUAGCAUCACCAUCCUUAAAAACAGGGCCCAUUUGUCCAGAAGCAUGGCUUUUCUACAGUGUUUUCAUUUGAUAAAUUUGCCCAUAAAUUCCCCUGGGAAUCCACCUCGUGUACAGACAGCUUAUGCUCCAUUUGCUCUGUUCAGAGGAGCAAAAUAGGCAUUACUGGCAGAAGUUCUUCUUUGCCAACAUCUGCAGAUUAUUUCUUCUAAAUGAGAGACUUUGUUUUAAAUUAAUCAAUAUUACAGAAAAUGCAGCAAACGCUUUCCAUUGACAUCUCCCUGCACACCUUGGCAGGUGCACAGGUGUCCACGACAGGUCUGCACACAGCUGUCUGAGGGGUUUCCAGGCCUUGCAAUAACAACCAUUUCUGAGCAGUAAUGCCAAACCUCCACAAAGAUCCAGUGCUGGUGGUGAUAGGUAGAGCAUUUCUUACUGUACUCAGAUCCACAGAGCCCAGUUCAAAGAAGCAGCAAGUGUUGCCCAGUGUUUGAAGCUCACUUUUCUUUCUCAGUGUACAUCAUCCAUCCAGAUGACAGCAGCCAUUCAGGAAAGCCUCUCCUUGACCACCAAGUGCUGGAUCUAUCGCAAGGUGGGAUGGGAUGAAAGAAUCCUUGAGUUGAGUAUCAUCAGUUGUAGAGCUUGUUACCACUGGAGGUUUUAGGUCUAAUCUAAUUUCAGGUUUAAUCUAAAAUUAAACAUCAGGUCUAAUUGAUCUAAUUGAUCUACCACCAGUCUGAGCCAUUUUUACAUCAGAGUAAUUUUUCUCCCUCUCUGUUCAGCUGACAAAGUGUUUUAAAUGCUUGUGAGCUCUUUACAUAGGAAGGGAAGAGCGAUCCAGCCACAAUUUGCUGCAGCACCUUCCAGACUGUGGGUUAAAACGAAAGAGCAGUCACAGCCCUGGAGCACCCAGCAGAGAUUUCCUGUUCCUCUGCCAAGCCAUGGUGGGGUUUCUAACCGAAAGAAAAGAAUUUAAUGAGUCCAUAGCAAAGCAAAUUAAGCUAAGUGCAGUGUGAUUAGGCCGCUAGCACUAAUCUUUAAAGGCAACAGCAUUUGAUCAAGGAAGGUGUCCUCCAAAACUGAUCUUAAAAAGGCAAUCAAAAAUUUCUGGCAAUGAAUAGCCAAAGUUGAGGGAUAGUGGUUUUUGGGGGGAGGUUAUCCCAGUUGGUAAUGUUUCCUUCUGAACAGGGCUUAUUGUGGUAUCAGCUGUGCAAUAAAUAUUUUACAGUUUAUCACCACUGCCAAGAGCUGACCUUUGCUGCAGCAAGAAACCACUUGUUUAAAGUUUGGUGGCUGCAGUUCAUUCAGGAGAUUAUGAACCCCCCUACAGGUUGUUUGUUUGUUUGUUUGUUUUACUAAGGGGGAAACCAUGGAAAACACAAGUGCAAGGUGUGUUACCCAGAAAUGAAAUGGUUCUAAAGAAGAGAAAACUGAUUGGCGAGGCAUCACGCGGGGAUGAAAGCCUCUGAUAACCACCUUCAAGAAAGAGUGGCAGGUGUGACACAUCACCAUGAGAUCUAACUCCCUUUACAGUAAUUCCUUCAAAUAUUCACUUGGGGCACACAAAUCACACACUGGUCAUGCAGGAGGGGAGGAGGGAGCAGGCUGCUGGGAGAGCCAAGCAUCAGCAGUGGGUAUGGAUGGAGUGACUAGACAUGACAAAAUAUCCACACACCUUGAUGCUAAGCAGCGACAGAAGGCUGUAUGACAGGGAAAUUUUCAACCUCACUACAGUUUCUCUGUUCUCUUUCUCUCUUUUUUUUUUUUUCCUCCACAAAACAAACAAGAACUGCAAAAACAAUAUAUAUGACGUUGAAGAGCAAAUUGUACCACAAGCCAUUGUUAGAAAUGGAUUUGCACAGAACAAGCAAGCUGUCUCAAAUCAGGUAUAGCCCAGCUGAAAACACUCUGCUUGUCAAGCCAGCUUGAAGCCUGGGGAGAGUGACUAGCUCUGGCAGGGGUACUCUGAGGGGCACUGAAAUCCUGUUUUGCUUUGUCUCCACCUGCCCAUAUAAAAAUACAAAGAAACAGUUUGCAUCUGA
Anas platyrhynchos (mallard) is the source of this 2555-nucleotide non-coding RNA. The record is from RefSeq and is a predicted model, not a curated record. NCBI's taxonomy places the organism in Eukaryota, Metazoa, Chordata, Aves, Anseriformes, Anatidae.